Molecule: long non-coding RNA, 575 nt
Organism: Mya arenaria
Lineage: Eukaryota; Metazoa; Mollusca; Bivalvia; Myida; Myidae
Exons: 4
Source: RefSeq, a predicted model, not a curated record
GGUUCAUUAUCAAUGCUCAUAUAUAACGCUGACCUAAAACAACUUGAAAAGAGUCGUCGGUUAAUCAUUGAACAGUAAUUAACGACUUGACUUGUAUAUUGAAUUAUACAAGUUUUCUCGAUGAAACGAGAAAGGUAUUUGAGUGCAGUGCUGUUUAUUCAUCUGCUCACUUCCAAAAUCAUGUUCGCUCAAAUAGUACCCAGAUUGAAUAUUAGCCUACCACCCAUAAAAAUAAAUACCGGAAAUAAGCCCUUCACAUUCAGUGGAACCCCAAUAGUAUCACCUACUGGAAGACUUAUCGGGGGGACCGCUGGGAUCAAUUGGAAGCCCGCGGGGUCCAACACUGGGUUCAACGGGAACCUGGGUUGGAGAAACGGAAUGGGUUGGAGUGGCGGCUUAGGAGUUCGCAUAAAUUUUGGCGGAGGCAGAGGCAGAGGCAGAGGCAGAGGUUGAGGUGGGGGCGGAGGGGUAGGCGGAAGAAAUGAAUUAAAACUCGCCCCAUCUGAAUGAUGUUGUUAUUCAGUGUAUGCAAGUAAUAGAAAUAUACUUGUUGUUCAAAUAAACAUAUAAACGAA